CCCCCCACUCAAGUAUCCUUUUUGGGAUGUUUGGAUUGCUUUGGAGAGGUGACUUUCUAUUGGAGUCGCCCUUCAGAAAUUCAUAGGCAGUAUGGUUUGCACCUGAACCAGACGUAAUAAUAAUAAAAUCGUUUGUUUGGGUAUAAUGAAUUGUACUUGCCUCAACCCACCCAUUUUUACCUU
Molecule: unclassified non-coding RNA, 183 nt
Filed under: uncultured Terfezia
Lineage: Eukaryota; Fungi; Ascomycota; Pezizomycetes; Pezizales; Pezizaceae
Description: sequence contains ITS2
Source: RNAcentral